Molecule: ribosomal RNA, 253 nt
Filed under: uncultured bacterium
Lineage: Bacteria
Description: partial 16S ribosomal RNA
Rfam family: Bacterial small subunit ribosomal RNA
Source: RNAcentral
UACGGAGGGUGCGAGCGUUGUUCGGAAUUACUGGGCGUAAAGGGAAUGUAGGUGGUGGCGUAAGUCAGAUGUGAAAGCCCUGGGCUUAACCUGGGAAGUGCAUUUGAUACUGCGUCGCUAGAGUACGGAAGAGGAGAGCGGAAUUCCUGGUGUAGGGGUGAAAUCCGUAGAUAUCAGGAGGAAUACCGAUGGCGAAGGCAGCUCUCUGGUCCGUAACUGACACUGAGAUUCGAAAGCGUGGGUAGCAAACAGG